This 253-nucleotide ribosomal RNA is filed under the name uncultured bacterium. RNAcentral's name for it is "partial 16S ribosomal RNA". It matches the Rfam family "Bacterial small subunit ribosomal RNA", at positions 524 to 776 of the family's 1533-position model. The record is from RNAcentral.
UACGUAGGGGGCAAGCGUUGUCCGGAAUCAUUGGGCGUAAAGCGCGCGUAGGCGGCCCGGUAAGUCCGCUGUAAAAGUCCAGGGCUCAACCCUGGAAAGCCGGUGGAUACUGUCGGGCUCGAGUCCGGAAGAGGCGAGUGGAAUUCCUGGUGUAGCGGUGGAAUGCGCAGAUAUCAGGAGGAACACCAAUGGCGAAGGCAGCUCGCUGGGACGGUACUGACGCUGAGGCGCGAAAGCGUGGGGAGCGAACAGG